GCUGACAACAUGAGGCACAUGCU
Molecule: microRNA, 23 nt
Filed under: Xenopus tropicalis (tropical clawed frog)
Lineage: Eukaryota; Metazoa; Chordata; Amphibia; Anura; Pipidae
Description: Xtr-Mir-430-o4_5p (mature (guide))
Source: RNAcentral